Molecule: ribosomal RNA, 852 nt
Filed under: uncultured bacterium
Lineage: Bacteria
Description: bacterial SSU rRNA
Rfam family: Bacterial small subunit ribosomal RNA
Source: RNAcentral
CGGGAGGCAGCAGUGGGGAAUAUUGCACAAUGGGCGAAAGCCUGAUGCAGCCAUGCCGCGUGUGUGAAGAAGGCCUUCGGGUUGUAAAGCACUUUCAGCGAGGAGGAAAGGGUGUUGUUUAAUACGCAACAUCUGUGACGUUACUCGCAGAAGAAGCACCGGCUAACUUCGUGCCAGCAGCCGCGGUAAUACGAGGGGUGCAAGCGUUAAUCGGAAUUACUGGGCGUAAAGCGUGCGUAGGUGGUUUGUUAAGCAAGAUGUGAAAGCCCCGGGCUCAACCUGGGAACUGCAUUUUGAACUGGCAAACUAGAGUAUUGUAGAGGGUAGUGGAAUUUCCAGUGUAGCGGUGAAAUGCGUAGAGAUUGGAAGGAACAUCAGUGGCGAAGGCGGCUACCUGGACAAAUACUGACACUGAGGCACGAAAGCGUGGGGAGCAAACAGGAUUAGAUACCCUGGUAGUCCACGCCGUAAACGAUGUCAACUAGCCGUCUGUGACCUUGAGUCGUGGGUGGCGCAGCUAACGCACUAAGUUGACCGCCUGGGGAGUACGGCCGCAAGGUUAAAACUCAAAUGAAUUGACGGGGGCCCGCACAAGCGGUGGAGCAUGUGGUUUAAUUCGAUGCAACGCGAAGAACCUUACCAUCCCUUGACAUCCAGAGAAGAGACUAGAGAUAGACUUGUGCCUUCGGGAACUCUGUGACAGGUGCUGCAUGGCUGUCGUCAGCUCGUGUUGUGAAAUGUUGGGUUAAGUCCCGCAACGAGCGCAACCCCUGUCCUUAUUUGCCAGCGCGUAAUGGCGGGAACUCUAAGGAGACUGCCGGUGAUAAACCGGAGGAAGGUGGGGACGACGUC